AGAGUUUGAUCCUGGCUCAGAACGAACGCUGGCGGCAGGCUUAACACAUGCAAGUCGAACGCCCUCUUUUGAGGGAGUGGCAGACGGGUGAGUAACGCGUGGGAAUCUACCUAGUGGUAAGGAACAACACAGAGAAAUUUGUGCUAAUACCUUAUACGCCCUCCGGGGGAAAGAUUUAUCGCCAUUAGAUGGGCCCGCGUUUGAUUAGCUAGUUGGUGAGGUAAUGGCUCACCAAGGCGACGAUCAAUAGCUGGUCUGAGAGGAUGAUCAGCCACACUGGGACUGAGACACGGCCCAGACUCCUACGGGAGGCAGCAGUGGGGAAUAUUGGACAAUGGGCGCAAGCCUGAUCCAGCCCUGCCGCGUGUGUGAUGAAGGCCUUAGGGUUGUAAAGCACUUUCAACGGUGAAGAUAAUGACGGUAACCGUAGAAGAAGCUCCGGCUAACUUCGUGCCAGCAGCCGCGGUAAUACGAAGGGAGCUAGCGUUGUUCGGAAUUACUGGGCGUAA
RNAcentral lists this ribosomal RNA (509 nucleotides) under uncultured Alphaproteobacteria bacterium. Its description in RNAcentral is "bacterial SSU rRNA". It matches the Rfam family "Bacterial small subunit ribosomal RNA", at positions 8 to 563 of the family's 1533-position model. The record is from RNAcentral. Lineage: Bacteria; Pseudomonadati; Pseudomonadota; Alphaproteobacteria.